AUUGAACGCUGGCGGCAUGUCUUACACAUGCAAGUCGAACGGUAACAGAUCUUCGGAUGCUGACGAGUGGCGAACGGGUGAGUAAUGCAUCGGAACGUGCCCAGUUGUGGGGGAUAACUGCUCGAAAGAGCAGCUAAUACCGCAUACGACCUGAGGGUGAAAGCGGGGGAUCGCAAGACCUCGCGCAAUUGGAGCGGCCGAUGUUAGCUUAGGUAGUUGGUGGGGUAAAGGCCUACCAAGCCGACGAUCUGUAGUUGGUCUGAGAGGACGACCAGCCACACUGGUGCUGAGACUCGGCCCAGACUCCUACGGUAGGCAGCAGUGCGGACUUGUGGACAAUGGGCGCAAGCCUGAUCCAGCAAUGCCGCGUGCAGGAAGAAGGCCUUCGGGUUGUAAACUGCUUUUGUCAGGGAAGAAAUCCUCUGGGUUAAUACCCCAGGGGGAUGACGGUACCUGAAGAAUAAGCACCGGCUAACUACGUGCCAGCCGCCGCCGUAA
This 498-nucleotide ribosomal RNA is filed under the name uncultured bacterium. Its description in RNAcentral is "partial 16S ribosomal RNA". It matches the Rfam family "Bacterial small subunit ribosomal RNA", at positions 30 to 523 of the family's 1533-position model. The record is from RNAcentral.